AAGGGUGUGUUUUUAUAUAGUUUGGUAUUGCAUAUCAUUUAAAGAAAAUUUUAUAAUUUAUAAAAAAUAGAAUUAAAAGGUAGAAAAAUUUAUUAUUUUUAUUGUUUCAAAAUAAAAAUUAUAAUUUUUAGGGUUGAAAAGUCGACUUUUAGGAUAUUUGUGUAAUUAGUAUAAUUAGAAAUUUAUUAUUUUGUAGAUUAAAUUUUAUAAAUAGUAAGAGUUGAAGUAUCUAUUUUGCUAGUUUUAUAACAGUUUAUAAAUUAAUUGGUAAAAAUUAAAAUUUUAAAAAUUUAAUAAUUUGUUAUUAUAUUUAUUAUUUUAAAAUUAGUAGUUAUCAAAAAUAUAAUAUUUUUUGUUAAUAUAAUUAAAGAACUCAAAAAUUAAUCAAAUGUUUUUUAAAGACUUAGACUUUUUAAUAAAGUUUGCUUCUGCCCAGUGAUAUAUUUUAAAUGGCAGUCUUAGCGUGAGGACAUUAAGGUAGCAAAAUAAUUUGUGCUUUUAUUGAGUUCCAGUAUGAAUGAAGUUAUUGGUUAAUUUAUUUUUUAAUUUUAUAAUGAAGUUUUAUUUAGUAUAAGAAAGUAUUAGUAUAAUAAUACAAAGAUAAGUCUUCGGAAAUUCUUUUUUAAUAAUGAUAUUUAAAUUAUUAUUAAAAAUUUUCUAGGGCAGAAUUUUAUAUAAAUUAUUUAAUCUAUUAAUAAUUUAAAGAAUUACUCCGGAGUUAACAGAAAAUCAUACCUAAUCUAGUUCUUAUAGUAAGGUAAGUUUUACAUCGAUGUUGUAUUUAAAUUUAUUAAAAAAGGAGAAGAUUUAAAAAUUAAGACUGUUCUUCUUUUAAUUAAUUUAACGUGAUAUUAGUUUAAUUCAUUGUGAGAUAGAAUUGUUUAUCUUGUUUAUUAUUGAGGUAAAAUUUUAAUAGUACGAAAGGAAAAUUAAAAAAAGUUUUAAACUUUAUAAGGAGGGAUCUUA
RNAcentral lists this ribosomal RNA (966 nucleotides) under Paramacropostrongylus iugalis. RNAcentral's name for it is "large subunit ribosomal RNA". Lineage: Eukaryota; Metazoa; Nematoda; Chromadorea; Rhabditida; Strongylidae. The record is from RNAcentral.